ACGCUGACACGUAGGUGAAGUGAUUUACUCAUGGAGCUGAAGUCAGUCGAAGAUACCAGCUGGCUGCAACUGUUUAUUAAAAACACAGCACUGUGCAAACACGAAAGUGGACGUAUACGGUGUGACGCCUGCCCGGUGCCGGAAGGUUAAUUGAUGGGGUCAGCGCAAGCGAAGCUCCUGAUCGAAGCCCCGGUAAACGGCGGCCGUAACUAUAACGGUCCUAAGGUAGCGAAAUUCCUUGUCGGGUAAGUUCCGACCUGCACGAAUGGCGUAAUGAUGGCCAGGCUGUCUCCACCCGAGACUCAGUGAAAUUGAACUCGCUGUGAAGAUGCAGUGUACCCGCGGCAAGACGGAAAGACCCCGUGAACCUUUACUAUAGCUUGACACUGAACAUUGAGCCUUGAUGUGUAGGAUAGGUGGGAGGCUUUGAAGUGUGGACGCCAGUCUGCAUGGAGCCGGCCUUGAAAUACCACCCUUUAAUGUUUGAUGUUCUAACGUGGACCCGUGAUCCGGGUUGCGGACAGUGUCUGGUGGGUAGUUUGACUGGGGCGGUCUCCUCCUAAAGAGUAACGGAGGAGCACGAAGGUUGGCUAAUCCUGGUCGGACAUCAGGAGGUUAGUGCAAUGGCAUAAGCCAGCUUGACUGCGAGCGUGACGGCGCGAGCAGGUGCGAAAGCAGGUCAUAGUGAUCCGGUGGUUCUGAAUGGAAGGGCCAUCGCUCAACGGAUAAAAGGUACUCCGGGGAUAACAGGCUGAUACCGCCCAAGAGUUCAUAUCGACGGCGGUGUUUGGCACCUCGAUGUCGGCUCAUCACAUCCUGGGGCUGAAGUAGGUCCCAAGGGUAUGGCUGUUCGCCAUUUAAAGUGGUACGCGAGCUGGGUUUAGAACGUCGUGAGACAGUUCGGUCCCUAUCUGCCGUGGGCGCUGGAGAACUGAGGGGGGCUGCUCCUAGUACGAGAGGACCGGAGUGGACGCAUCACUGGUGUUCGGGUUGUCAUGCCAAUGGCACUGCCCGGUAGCUAAAUGCGGAAGAGAUAAGUGCUGAAAGCAUCUAAGCACGAAACUUGCCCCGAGAUGAGUUCUCCCUGAGACUUUAGGUCUCCUGAAGGAACGUUGAAGACGACGACGUUGAUAGGCCGGGUGUGUAAGCGCAGCGAUGCGUUGAGCUAACCGGUACUAAUGAACCGUGAGGCUUAACCUU
This 1200-nucleotide ribosomal RNA is filed under the name Salmonella enterica. RNAcentral describes it as "partial 23S ribosomal RNA". It matches the Rfam family "Bacterial large subunit ribosomal RNA", at positions 1748 to 2925 of the family's 2925-position model. Lineage: Bacteria; Pseudomonadati; Pseudomonadota; Gammaproteobacteria; Enterobacterales; Enterobacteriaceae. The record is from RNAcentral.